Long non-coding RNA from Oreochromis aureus, 637 nucleotides. The record is from Ensembl. NCBI's taxonomy places the organism in Eukaryota, Metazoa, Chordata, Actinopteri, Cichliformes, Cichlidae.
GGAAGUGAACCUGGGCUCCAGCCUAACCCGGUCCACCGGUUCUGAACAUGCUGUUGGAGGAAGACGGGGAAAUGGCAACACAACUGGCUGCCGUGGCUCCUAGACUGGAUGCCCGAGAAGGGGUGAUGAAAGGCUUCUGAAAGGCUGCAUUAUCCUGCUGGAAGAGGCCACAGCCAUCAGUGAGCACUGUUUCCAUGAAAGGGUGUACAUGAUUUGCAACAAUGCUUAGGCAGGUGGUACGUGUCAAAGUAACAUAGAUGGCAGGACCCAAGGUUUCUCAGAAUUGCCCAAAGCAUCACGCUGCCUCUGCCAACUGCCUUCUUCCUGCAGUGCAUCCUGAGGCCGGGUGUCCUCCAGUAAGCAACACACCAGAAAAAGAAGAAAGAAAAUGUGAUUCAUCAGACCAGAAUACCUUAUUUUAUUGCUCUGUGGUCCAGUCCUGAUGCUCGCAUGCACAUUGUUGGUCAUUUUUAGUGGUGAAAGGGGGCAGCAUGGGCACCCUGACUGGUCUGCAGCUAUGCAGCCCCCUACACAACAAACUGUGAUGCACAGUGUAUUCUGACACUUUUCUAAGGGCAACUAAACCUCCUGUGUGGCUUUGGAUUACAAAUGGAAAGAGUCCCAUAAUAUAACCACA